This 468-nucleotide ribosomal RNA is filed under the name uncultured bacterium. Its description in RNAcentral is "partial 16S ribosomal RNA". It matches the Rfam family "Bacterial small subunit ribosomal RNA", at positions 28 to 507 of the family's 1533-position model. The record is from RNAcentral.
GACGAGCGCUGGCGGCGUGCUUAACACAUGCCAGUCGAACGGAAAGGCCCUGCUUUUGUGGGGUGCUCGAGUGGCGAACGGGUGAGUAACACGUGAGUAACCUGCCCUUGACUUUGGGAUAACUUCAGGAAACUGGGGCUAAUACCGGAUAGGAGCUCCUGCUGCAUGGUGGGGGUUGGAAAGUUUCGGCGGUUGGGGAUGGACUCGCGGCUUAUCAGCUUGUUGGUGGGGUAGUGGCUUACCAAGGCUUUGACGGGUAGCCGGCCUGAGAGGGUGACCGGCCACAUUGGGACUGAGAUACGGCCCAGACUCCUACGGGAGGCAGCAGUGGGGAAUAUUGCACAAUGGGCGGAAGCCUGAUGCAGCAACGCCGCGUGCGGGAUGACGGCCUUCGGGUUGUAAACCGCUUUCGCCUGUGACGAAGCGUGAGUGACGGUAAUGGGUAAAGAAGCGCCGGCUAACUACGUG